RNAcentral lists this ribosomal RNA (859 nucleotides) under Zoanthus aff. pulchellus SGB-2022. RNAcentral describes it as "partial large subunit ribosomal RNA". It matches the Rfam family "Bacterial large subunit ribosomal RNA", at positions 1578 to 2507 of the family's 2925-position model. Lineage: Eukaryota; Metazoa; Cnidaria; Anthozoa; Zoantharia; Zoanthidae. The record is from RNAcentral.
AAGUGCCAGGAAAGAAUUAUUCAAGCCCUUCCCAGAAGGUAUCCUUCUGGCAAGGGUACUGUACUAAACUAACUAAAGUGGGGGAUAGUGAGGGGAUAAAUUUUCUUAAGGAACUCGGCAAAAUCCCAAUGGCCCACCAGGGCAUAUUGGAACACGGGCCUCGACUGUUUACCAAAAACAUAGCCCUCGGCUAAUAUGAAAAUAGAUGUAUAGAGGGUGAUGCCUGCCCAAUGGUUGUAUCUAAAAGCGGUUGAUAAAAGUUGACCUCGUAAGGACAAUUGAAUGGCCGCGGUAACACUGACCGUGAUAAUGUAGCGUAAUCAAUAGCCAAUUAAUUGUUGGCCAGUAUGAAUGGCGCCACGAAGGCCCCACUGUCUUAAGGAAAUUCCCAGUGAAAUUGAAUUCGUAGUGAAGAUGCUACGUCCAAUUUGUUAGACGAAAAGACCCCGUUGAGCUUUACUGGAGCACUUACAUGGCCCCGGCCUUCCCAUGCCUGGGAACCGGCCGAAUUUAAAUGGGCGGCUUAGAUUAUGUGGCAGCCCCCCGCUGGGGCAAAUGAAACACCACUCCCCCAUGUCAAAGGGGCUAACCCCCCCCCUUGGGGGGACAGUGUAAGUAGGACAGUUUGGUUGGGGCGACCACCUUUUAAAAAGUAACGAAGGUGCGCUUAAGGUGCGCAAUUAAUGACUGAAGCCUGACUGCGAGGGGGACACCCCGAGCAGACACCCCAAAGCCCGCCCGAAAGGCGGCGGUGGGGUGGGCCAUAGUGACCCGUUAAUUUAGAGUGGAAUAGUUAACGAUCAACGAAUAAAAGUUACCACGGGGAUAACAGCGUAAUAUCGUUAGAGAGUUCACAUCG